GACGAACGCUGGCGGCGUGCCUAACACAUGCAAGUCGUGCGAGAAAGUUCCUUCGGGAGCGAGUAAAGCGGCGCACGGGUGAGUAACACGUAGGUAACCUGCCCCCCAGUCUGGAACAACUAGAGGAAACUCUAGCUAAUGCCGGAUGAGACCACGAUCCCUUCGGGGGUUGCGGCCAAAGAUGGCCUCUACUUGUAAGCUAUCGCUGAGGGAUGGGCCUGCGGGCCAUUAGCUUGUUGGUGAGGUAACGGCUCACCAAGGCUGUGAUGGCUAGCUGGUCUGAGAGGAUGACCAGCCACACUGGGACUGAGACACGGCCCAGGACUCCUACGGGAGGCAGCAGUGGGAAUAUUGCGCAAUGGGCGAAAGCCUGACGCAGCGACGCCGCGUGGGUGA
Molecule: ribosomal RNA, 396 nt
Filed under: uncultured bacterium
Lineage: Bacteria
Description: bacterial SSU rRNA
Rfam family: Bacterial small subunit ribosomal RNA
Source: RNAcentral